This 255-nucleotide ribosomal RNA is filed under the name uncultured bacterium. RNAcentral's name for it is "partial 16S ribosomal RNA". It matches the Rfam family "Bacterial small subunit ribosomal RNA", at positions 524 to 776 of the family's 1533-position model. The record is from RNAcentral.
UACGUAGGGUGCGAGCGUUGUCCGGAAUUAUUGGGCGUAAAGAGCUCGUAGGCGGUGUGUCACGUCGGCCGUGAAAACCUGCAGCUUAACUGUGGGCGUGCGGUCGAUACGGGCAUCACUGGAGUUCGGCAGGGGAGACUGGAAUUCCUGGUGUAGCGGUGAAAUGCGCAGAUAUCAGGAGGAACACCGGUGGCGAAGGCGGGUCUCUGGGCCGAUACUGACGCUGAGGAGCGAAAGCGUGGGGGAGCAAACGGG